UGGUUCUGGCAUCGAUGAAGAACGCAGCGAAAUGCGAUAAGUAAUGUGAAUUGCAGAAUUCAGUGAAUCAUCGAAUCUUUGAACGCACAUUGCGCCCCUUGGUAUUCCGAGGGGCAUGCCUGUUCGAGCGUCAUUAUCACCACUCAAGCUCUGCUUGGUCCUGGAUCGCGCCGGUCUCGGCUGAUCCCAAAUCCAGUGGCGGCCUCUGUAGGUUCUUCGCGUAGUACAUCUCUCGCGUGGGCGCUCCAGAAUCGUCGACCAGAAGCCUUUUCUUAGGUUGACCUCGAAUCAGGUAGGAAUACCCGCUGA
This 309-nucleotide unclassified non-coding RNA is filed under the name uncultured fungus. Its description in RNAcentral is "partial contains 5.8S ribosomal RNA and internal transcribed spacer 2". The stretch from base 1 to 133 matches the Rfam family "5.8S ribosomal RNA", at positions 22 to 154 of the family's 154-position model. Lineage: Eukaryota; Fungi. The record is from RNAcentral.